Long non-coding RNA from Nicotiana attenuata, 128 nucleotides. RefSeq lists it as uncharacterized. The transcript is spliced from 3 exons. The record is from RefSeq and is a predicted model, not a curated record. Lineage: Eukaryota; Viridiplantae; Streptophyta; Magnoliopsida; Solanales; Solanaceae.
GCCCGUUUCAACUGAAUGACCUCUGUUUUUUUCUGCUGACCAACCUUGUUGAUGUUGCUGGAUAACACCUUGUGAAUUUAGACUGCUUUUGGGGUUUUGAAGAUUGAAGAUACAAGUCAAGAUGCAAG